Molecule: ribosomal RNA, 584 nt
Filed under: uncultured bacterium
Lineage: Bacteria
Description: bacterial SSU rRNA
Rfam family: Bacterial small subunit ribosomal RNA
Source: RNAcentral
CCUACGGGAGGCAGCAGUGGGGAAUUUUGGACAAUGGGGGCAACCCUGAUCCAGCCAUGCCGCGUGCGGGAAGAAGGCCCUCGGGUUGUAAACCGCUUUCAGAUGGAAAGAAAUGGUGUAGGUUAAUAACCUGCAUUGAUGACGGUACCAUCAGAAGAAGCACCGGCUAACUACGUGCCAGCAGCCGCGGUAAUACGUAGGGUGCGAGCGUUAAUCGGAAUUACUGGGCGUAAAGCGUGCGCAGGCGGUUCUUUAAGACAGGUGUGAAAUCCCCGGGCUUAACCUGGGAAUUGCGCUUGUGACUGGAGGGCUAGAGUGUGGCAGAGGGGAAUGGAAUUCCUGGUGUAGCAGUGAAAUGCGUAGAUAUCAGGAGGAACACCGAUGGCGAAGGCAGUUCCCUGGGCCAACACUGACGCUCAUGCACGAAAGCGUGGGGAGCAAACAGGAUUAGAUACCCUGGUAGUCCACGCCGUAAACGAUGUGUGCUAGAUGUUGGAGGGUUACCUUUCAGUGUCGCAGCUAACGCACUAAGCACACCGCCUGGGAAGUACGGUCGCAAGAUUAAAACUCAAAUGAAUUGACGG